Long non-coding RNA from Lepidothrix coronata (blue-crowned manakin), 8513 nucleotides. RefSeq lists it as uncharacterized. Lineage: Eukaryota; Metazoa; Chordata; Aves; Passeriformes; Pipridae. The transcript has 3 exons. The record is from RefSeq and is a predicted model, not a curated record.
UGUGGAGGGAAGGUUCAGUGGGAUUUGCUCGUGCAGGUACAGUAAACGCUGCAGAAAAUAACCGGCCUCGUCACCGGCUCUGCGCUUCGGCAGCGGUGGGCGCAAAAUGCAGGGCACGGCCAGGCAGAACCCGCCAGAUAUGGGCGUUUGCCAGUCUCGUAUUUUUUAAAUUAAAAAAAAAGUUGUUUUGUCAUUGCAGCAUACUGGAUUAGUAGCCCCGUCACUGCAUUUUUGGAUGCUUAACGCUAUCUAAAGUGUCUUUUUUUAAUUAAAAUAAUACCAGCAGGAUGAUUUCAGAACAAGUCUUUACGUUCCAUGAAACAAACAAGCAAAAGAAAUCUUUUGGUGUAUAGUGAGCCAUACUUUUAUGUAGGGUACUUUUGGGUUUCAUUUCAAAAGACACUUCUUCACACCAUUGAGGUUUUGGCCACCUGUAUUCAACUUUCCCAAAAAAGUUUGCAGCCAGGCGUUUGACAGUACAACUUUUGCUGAACAGAACAGGAAGAAUACAAAUUAAAAGUAUUGAGAUAAAAUGGGUGCUUUCAAAUGAUUGGGGGCUUGGAAUUGUAUCUAAAGUAUUUGAGAAAAUAGCCAAAAUAACUUCUGAACCACUGGAGGUUGUUUUUGAUGAGUCCUGUCAGAUAAAUGACAUUUCAGGACCAGGAAAAGCCAAAGAUAGUCGUAGCAAAAAAAAAAAUUCAAGAUAGAAAAUGACAGAUAGGUCAGCCUACUUUGAUCCCUGUAAGUAAAUCUAAAUUAUUAGCUUCUACUACCUAAAAGCAAAACCAUCAGGUAGCAAAGCCCGAAUGGAUCAAGGUCUGGAGGAAGCUUAUGUGUCAGAAUUUUUGAAAUGACAUCUUUAAAUUAAAGAAGAAACGUGCUAAAAUGGAAGCUCUUUAAAAGGUCUGCUUUCUUGUAAAUAAUGGGUUUACUCAAUGAGCAGGAAUCAAGAGAAUAAAAUAUGAAUUUAGUUCUUCCCUUUUAGUAGUGAAAAAGACUACAGAAGUAUUUCAAUAUAUACAUGUGCCUUGUGUGUCACUUUUUGUUUUCACAUUACAGUCAAAACAUAGAAUAAGCAGCUUUUCAGGUAAACAGCGUUUUCUGUUAAAAUUAAUACUCUUCACAAAGCCAAUAGGUAUAGAGAACUACAAUAUUCUGUUCAAAAGAAAUUGUUAUUUAUCAAAAUACUGAAAUACUCUGAUAUCUUUAAAUGACAGUUAUUUUCACAAGUGAUCACAUUUUCCUUUUCAAGAAAAAGAAAGACCAGAAAUUUGUUGUUUGUGUAGACAUAUUCCCUACAGAAAGUAAUCUCGCAAGUAGAACAGUACAUGGAUGCUAUUUGUCUGGGAGUGGUGUACACAAGCCUCAAUAUGCCUUGUACUGUGUUUUUAUGAUCUGUGCAUUGAGUGGUCCCAAAUAACGUGCUGGCAAGCCUCCUGAUUCUUCUUCCACAUAAACCAGCAUAAGCUUUCCUUACAUUAAAAUUCUGUCAUUACACUGUAAUUUCCAAAUUGGUCUAAUUCAACCAAUUAUCAACCAACCUUUUUAUCCAACCAGCAAGUAGAUUUGCUUAUAAAAGGAUCAAAGGAGUUUAGGCUGUUUAGUUGCAGAAAUACUCAUUGUCCUGGGGUUGAAGGACAUCUGGGGUGAGAAGGCAGUAUGUGGCUCUGCUGCAACAGGCAGAGUGAGAUUAUUCUAGAGUUAAUUCAAAGCAGUUCACUAUAAACAGUUUUACAACAAAAUGAGUCAUUCUGCACAUUGAAUUCUCUCUGAGCUAUGUUUUUUUAAGUUGAAGCAGAACCUAGCAGAAAGAUCAUAGGAAGACUUCAAACAAUAUUCAAAUAGAAAUCUCAAUGUUUAACAAAACCAUGGGUUUAACACCUGUGCAGUUGAGAAUGAUACUUCUAAACAUACAAAUAAACCUUUAUUAGCCUUAGAAAUAAAAGAAGGCUAUCUGAAAAUACUUGUUUACCCCAUAUUGCUUCAAAGUUUUAUAAGCUAAAACAAAACAGAACAAACAAACAAACAUAAAAGAAUGAUGUGGUAUUUCAAACAAGAAACCAAGGAGAAUAUGUUUUUUGUUUCCAACAUAUAAAGUAUACCUAUCAAAAAGGAAGAACAUUUUCUGGGUAAGGCAGCUAUCAGUCUUGUCAGAACUGUAUUUCAUUUAUCUAUAUAUGUCAUUACUCUAAUUAGUUUAAUUUAAACUGAUAAAACAAAUGUACUGCUCAAUACUAAGCACCAUGCAUUUUUUUUUUAAAUAUUUUCUAAUGCUUUUUAAGACUCUGACCCAAAGCCCCAGAUUUCUCUAGUUAUUUAGGUCAAAUAAAAGUCUUUGGUUUGGUUUGGUUUUGCUUAUUUCUUGAAAAAAAAAGUUACUUUGUUGCUUCUGAUAGUUAGGUAAUUAUUUGUAGGUAUUUAUAUUUCAAAAGACACUUAAUUUUUUAGUUAACACCUCUUUUUGAAACACCCUCUCUUCUCCCAUCAUUCAGAAUAUAAAAUACAGCGAGAAUGGUAAUAUGGAAAUACAUACCAGACAUAUUUGAAGGCAGUAUUGGAAGAUGGCCUUAGGCUCAAAAGCUGAGCAUGAUUUUGUUCUUCUAGUCUAGAACCACAUUUUUAACACCACUUGCACAUCAUUUUGCCUUGUUUUUUCUCUGUGUUUCUUCAGUCUGAAUUAUUAUGGAUUUUUGUUUCUUUUUUCAUCAGACUUGUGUUUCAGAUGGAAAAGUUCUUGUAACGCAGUUUUUAAGUACACCCUCAAAUGUUGGUUUUUGCUUGAUUUUAUCUCCACACUAACAAAUGAACAUAGGCAUCCCAGUAAACAAAUUCAAGUCUUGUCAUGUUAAACAGUAUCUCAGGCAAUGAGUUCUCCCCAGCCCAUUGUAAGAAGUUUCAUAGUAUGCAGACAAACACAUACUCUUUAACUCUUGUCCUCCACAGUGAAAAUAUUUUUACCUGAAACUUUCUAAUUGAGAUUCAGUGAGAGUCAAGAAAUAGACUGUUGUAGCCAGUACAGAAUAUUGUAGCCAGAAUAGUGAAGAGCUUUAGAAUAUUACAAGUAUUGAAAGUGUGCCUGAAGCUUCAGGCAAGCUUAGCUGUAGACAGUACUACAAGUCCUGUUUUCACCCACAGCUGCACAGUAAUGAGAACAUUUCUUCUUGCAUUUUAUACCAGUAAUCCUGUUUCUGCUCUUCUAAUUUGACUAAACAUAGCUUCUCACAAAACCAGUUGCAACUUAGCUCCACAAAAUGUUUCAUCAUCUUAAUGUAGUUUUGAGUAUUUUUAUCCAGCUACGGGGUUUUUUGGCAGUAAUGAUAACAGUACAGAUUCAACCACUAACCUAGGAUAGUGCAGGCUUCAAAAUGUAUUCCUGAAGUGAGAGAACCCUCCUUAUGACAAAGUACUGGGAAGAGUCUAAAUUGAACUGUUAUGAAAAACUGAGUCAACUUACUGGAGAUUAAUUUCCCUUCAUUUCAUGUACAUCUUUGUCUCUAAUAUUUUAACCGUAUUGCUAGCCUUCUGCUAAUGUUCCUUAGCUAUUUCUUUGAUUGUUGUUGUUGAUACCUGACACAGUUUCUUUAAUAACAUGUACAGGAAGGUCUAAUGCAGCUCCUGGGAAUAAAGGAGAGAAAAAGCAGAGUCACACAGCAUUGGUGUAUCAUAAGCCAUGUGCAGCAAUUCAAACCAUGUAGUCAGACCAUAUUCCGGUCUACACACAAUGGUAGAAAAUCCAGCGAGACGUUCUCACAGCUGAGAAGAAGCAGGCUGACUGACGGGGGGAGAGCUGUAACCCCCCUUAUGCAUGACCCAGAAGGACCACUCUGCAUGCAAGUCACAAUGUGGCACAAAAUGGCCCUUUAUUGAACACGGACACAGGCUUAUAAACAGAGAGCAGGGAUCUUUCUAGAACUUAGGGAGGAGAUUGGGAGGAGUACUCAAAAGAGCGGCCAGUCAUGGUAACAAGGGGCGGAACCUAUCUAAACAUGGACAAAUAGAGAAAGGGUUUGUAUAGAACCAAUAGGAGAAAAGGUAAUGGGUACAGAGAAGGAAAUCAUAUAUUCUCAUAGUAAAACACAUUAUGCCAACAAGAGAACAAUUGCACAACCAAGUUAAACACUGGAAACAGACACUCUUGUGGUUAUGAUAAUCAUAUCUUGUGCAUGACAGCAUAAGUGCACUGCGAGAUAUUUUCUUCUCUCUCCGAUCUCUCCUCAUUAAGUCUCUUCCACCAGUCGUAGGAGUCUCUUAGGGCACCUCCAACAGCUGACCCUACUAGAGGACCAAGUAUCAAGAUCUGGUACUUCCGAUGUUAGCAGAUGUUUUUCCCCUUCAGAUAGGGAAAGGACAGGAGGUAACAGCUUUAAACUGAAAGACGGUAGAUUUAAAUUAGAUACUAGGAAGAAAGCUUCACUGUGAGGGUAGUGAGGCACAGAACAGGUUGCCCAGAGAAGCUGUGAAUGCCUCAUCACUGGAAUUGUUCAAGUGUUCACGGAACAAAAUGAUCCUUCAGGUCCUUUCCAACCCAAACCAUUCUAUGAAUCUGUGAUUCAGAUCUGCAAGACUGAAUAUACAGCUCUUUUAUUUUUGAGUUCUGGUUUAAAUUGCAGCAAUGUUAGUACUAAAUUUUAAUAUUAAUUUAGAAAUUUUAUAAGGCUUCAUUUUUAUUCUAAACUUGUCUGGCAUCUUCAGUAUUUCCCUAGUUAAUACAUAUAAAUAUUGACAAAUCUGUAUUUGAUACAUUUCAAACUACUCUUGGCCUAUUUUAUAUCGUAUCUGUGUUCGUUUUAUAAUAUGAAAAAUAUAUGUAAAGAAAAUUAUAUCCUUAAAUGGUUUGUAGGGUAUUCUGUAGUAUUACAUAUUUUGGCCUAUUCUAUGACGCUCUAUCUUGCUAGCAUGACAAGUAUUUUUGCAAAAUAAAAUAUGUCCAUCAAUUGUUCUUUUUGAUUCUAUGAUUCUUCUCAGCUUCAGCCUUAGAUUUUUAUUCCUAUAUGGUAAAACCCAUCAGUUCUUAUGAUUCAGUACUAAUAGUCAUGUUGGCCUUUAAAAUUAUUUUUAAUGAUUGACUCAAGUAGUUUUAUAUCAUUGCAAAAUCCCAAGUUCAUAAACUAUUAGAUCAAUGGCAAAACCUUAAAAUGCUUCCACUGCUCCUCAACAUUUUCUUUAGGACAGGUUUUGGUGUUUCCUUCAGUAUCUGUCAGGGUUAGUGGGACAGCUGUAGCUCUUUCCUCUUUCAGUCCUUCUGAAAUCUCUUCUAUAUGGGUCUUGCUUUUAGGUCUUUGCCUAGCUUUCAGAGAAAUGUCAUGAUUCACUGUGGAACCUAUGUCUUCGUAACUCGUAUGUCUCUCCAGGUAUUAAGUUCAGGCUUCUUUAUUUCCUUCCUUUGCAUGCACAGUAGCCACUGAGUUCAAAGUCUUCUUAGAAUCAGAAUGUCAUUUAUUUUAGCUAUAGAAACAAAAGGAAAUAUUAUUAAAAAUUAUAAACUGUAGAUACUUUCCAUAUUCAUCUUCUGUUGCCAUCUCAGCCUCAAAUUCUGCUUGGCUCCUUAGCUAUCUUAAUUCUUUUUACAGUUAAAAAGUACAGUUUUAGUCUUUGUCAGUAUUCUGUAUUUUUACCCUUUGACAAAAAAGCAUGUCUGUGUGUUCAUCUACAUGUUAAGUAUCUUGGAUGUUCAGAGUAAAUCUUCUUGGCAGUAGUCCCUGACAACUUUCACAUCUCUGUUGAAGCAUCAUCAGUGGUGCCCAUUUUUCAAUUCCUGCUAGUUCUUUGAGGUGUCUCCUGUUGACCCUGUAUAAAUUAUAUGAGGAACUGACUGCAUACACCAUAAAUGAGAGUUCCAAAUACUGCAAUACCCAGAACAUUUACUGAUCUUUAUGGUCAAUGCACUUAAUCUAUUUCAACUACCAUUGAACAAAUUCAGAGAAACUAAUUUUUUUCUUGUCUCCUAAACUUAUUCAUAGGUCAUAUUCAUAGGUCAUUUCUGCUUAAAAUCAUUUCCCCUCCCAACAGCCUUCUUCCUUUGUAAGCUCUCAAUAUCCCAAGGAAAUGUAAGGAUUUUUAUAGGGGUUUUUUUGACUUAACAAUGCUCACAUUUAGAAUUGCCUCCUGAUUCUGCUAGUGGCACUGGGGUCCUGCAACACAAUGAGCAAUUUCAAUUUCAGUUGAAAUGAGAGACUGUGGAGGACUCUUGUGGUCUUCUUCAUUUCCUGCUGCAUCCCAGCACUGGCAUUAGGAGUAGUGGAAAAGGAAAAAGUUGAUUGGAGACUCAUUUGGAACUUGCAUGUAAAUAUAUAUAUAAUCUGAAUCACAGAUACUGUGAGAGUAUAAGAAGGACAGAAGCGGCUGAUGAGACAGGAACUGUCUCUCUUUGUCCUGGGGCUGUGGCUCAGAGGAGUUCGCCACCUGCCCGCUGUAGCUGUGGGGAUCUGCUUUGCUGCCACCGCCCGCCUGCUACCAGUUGCCACAGGUACCUGCUUUGCUGCCACCACCUGCCCACUGCCAACCUCCAUGGGGACCUGCUUCACUGCUGCUGCCACUGCUGCCACUGCUGCCACUGCUGCCACUGCUGCCAGCAUCUCUGCCCAGAGUCACCGUUCUGCAUGGCUGCCACAACCGUUGUUGCCACUCAUGCAGCUGCAACUCUGCCCCACCUACGUCGUGAUCAUGUGACCACGUUGGGACUGUGUUGCAUUUUGGGUGACAGUUUUUUUCUGUUAUUGUUUGGUUGUUGUUUUGUUCUGGUUUGUUCUUUGUUUUUCAUGAAAUUGUUAUUAAUUUUCAUAUGCCAGUGGAAUGCCUCAUAAUUUAAAAAAAAAUUUGUAAUUUAGGGGGACGAGUUUCUAUUCCAUUGGAGGUCCCACCUCCUGGGACACAUUGUCAAUAAACCAAGAUACCCACCCACUAAGACUAGGCAUGAUUCUUGCGAUUUUCCCACUAAGCAAAAAUUUUCAGGAAACUGAUCAGUAUCAUGUAAAUGGCUUACAAGUGAUUGAGAUCACACCUUUGUGAAAUCUAUGUCAUCCAAAAUGCAGAAUGGUCGCUUCAUUUUGCAUGUUCAGUCCUGGGUAUGUACAUUCUAAUGUGAGCUUGUUUCAUAACUGCAAUCAAAGCUUUCCAACAUGUUAACCUAGAACUUUGUCAUAUACAGUCAAGAAGAAUAGGUAUACCACCUAAUAUUCAGCACCUGUUCUCCUUGAUGUGUUAUUGGAACUACAACUUACCCUUCUUUGUACUCAUUACUGAUCAGAAAAGGCUUGUUGUCAGACAGGGCUAACUUCUUGUCUUGUACAAGCAGGCAUCAAUAAAAGACGAAACAAAAGUAGAUGUGUUAAGGCAACAGGUGUAAUUACUGGUUUGUCUCAUAUGACAUUAAGAGAGCAGUAUUUUUACAUCUGUGAAUACAUCUGAAACAGACUCUGUCUGAAAUGAAGCUGAAAAGCCUUUUAGCUUCUGGCUGAACAAUUUUAUGCACCAGAGAACACUCUGAAGCCCCAAAAAGCAGUACUUGAGCAUUGCGGAAAGUUUCUGGUCCGUUCAUAUCUGUUGAAUUGAGAAGCAUCAUGGACCUGGGUUGAUGCGUUGUGGGUGAAUCACUGGGGUGCAUCACACUGGCAAUUACUCUGGAAAGUGAUUUGAUGCUUUUAUAAGGUGAUGGACAUUUUCCUGAUUGAUCUUAAAUAUUUGAAUAGCAUACACAGACAUAAAACUGUUUCCUGCUUAAAAACUUCAGCAUUUCAAAAUUUUUUAUGUCUUUCUGAGUUAAUGUAGUAUCUCUGUAUAUCUGUUUGUAUCACUCUCUGUUUAACUCUGUUUAUCCCUGUGUAUCUCUGUAUAGCUGAUGCAUUCCAAAUGAAAAAAAAAAAAACCACAAAAAUCUGUUUUUUUCACUAUAUUUUGUUAUAAUCUGUUUUCAAGAAAAGUGGACUUCUCAUAUUGCUGAAGUAUCUGCUGUAUGAAACGCAGCCAGGCAGUACUGAAAAUGGGCGGUUUUCAUGUGUAUAGUGUCUUCACUAGGAGGUUGCAAGAAGAUGCCAGAGCAUUUCACUUAUUCUUGUGGUCCUGGGGAGACAACACUGAAGAUGUGGAGGUAGUCCAAGAAGAGGAGAGGAGUUGUCCCUCUAAUCUGGCAACAGCCUCAUUAUUCAAUUCGGGAAACAGAUGAAAAGGGUCACCAUAUCAGUGGCCUCCACAAAACUGGAGAAAUCAACCAUCAACAUUUUUUGGAGUGAUAGUUUCUGUGAAAAGUUGUUUGACAUGUGCUUAACCAGAAGAAGUCCAGAUUCUCCGUAAGCCACAUCCCUGCCUGCUGUCUACUGAAUAAGCAGAGAAAUGAAGAUGGAAUUACAUCUACCUAGACUGUUCAAAGUUCUUGUGUGUUGAAGGCACAAGUUGAUUUCUCCUUGAAAGUACCAUCACAAUAAUUUACUUUUUCUUCAUAGGGUUGAGGGAACAACUUUAAGUAACUGACAAAUUGAUUAGCUCUCCUUGAUGUCACAUUUAUAAAUAUUUCUCCU